This 22-nucleotide microRNA is filed under the name Brassica rapa (field mustard). RNAcentral describes it as "bra-miR9558-3p". The record is from miRBase by way of RNAcentral. Lineage: Eukaryota; Viridiplantae; Streptophyta; Magnoliopsida; Brassicales; Brassicaceae.
UUGCAAGCCAGACAUUUCCUUU